Long non-coding RNA from Marmota monax (woodchuck), 3116 nucleotides. RefSeq lists it as uncharacterized. The transcript has 6 exons. Lineage: Eukaryota; Metazoa; Chordata; Mammalia; Rodentia; Sciuridae. The record is from RefSeq and is a predicted model, not a curated record.
CAAAUUUUCCUCACGUUCCGGGCAUCAUUCCACUGUCUUUACAGAUCCUCCGGGACCCACGUCGCCCCGUGCGUUGGGCUGCAAGAGGCAUCAUUCGCUGUCUCUAUUUUAAUACAUUUCCCAGGAUCUUGCCUCAAUGACCUGGUUACUCCAUGAUCAAGAUAUCCUCCUGACCACUGCAAGCCACAGUCCAGAGGAAUUCACUUCUGACCACCCUUUGUUCACCCUGCUGAGGAAUCAGAUGAAGAAUGACUGCUUCACACUGACAAGUUACCUUUAUCUGGAAAGUCAAAGGUCCUCCUUCCUAUUUAUCUCCUGCUCCUCUUCUUUGCCUUACACUCUUGACCCAUGUCCACAUGAAGUAAUAUUCCUGAAUGAUUCAUGAGCAACACCAUCCAUGUAUUACCAGUCACUCUUGUGUUCUCCCAGGUCCGUCAGUGGACUUGGUAGAGUUCGAUUCCCCAUCAUGAGAUGGAUAAGGAGGACCCAUCUUAUGCUCUGAUUCUCAUGAGGUCUUGAUGGAGGCGAUUCUGUGUGACAAGGGAAAGGAUGAGGCCCAUCUAUUCACAAGAUUGGAUCAUCAGCAGGUGAUAUGACUUGAGCAGUGAAGUUGAAGACUCAGUAGGAAAAUUUCCCUGGGAGAAAUUGGACUCAAGUCUCCUGCAUGGUCAUCUGAUCCAAGAAGCAGUUGAAGGAUGGGUCCUCCAGAGGGCAGGGCUAGAGGGGCAAGAUCCUGGCACCACCCUGUUUCAUCAGACCUGCUGAUCCUCAGGGGACCCAGCUGUGUGAGACUCAGCCUUUCCACCCCAGCAUCCAAGAGACCCCCUUUCUUCUGCCUCACGUUCACUGUCCAGGGACAUAUCCCCUGAAGGGAUGCUAAGGGGAAUGUCCAGGGGAAUCUAGUGCUGGAGGACAUUCACGAACACCAGAGAAUUGGGUGGGCUUGACUCUCUUUUCAGGUCUCUGGGGAAAGGGUGAAGAGGAGGCAGUCGGGGCAGGGCUUUUCCUCCUGCAAACAGUGCAUCCCAGUGGGCUCUGCAGAAGCCUUGGCAUCAGCAAGGGGACACUGCACCCUGCAAACCUAGCUGAGAUUAAGUAGCAUACAGACAACACACUCAGCAGAGGGCAGCAGGCAGGUCUCAGUACCCGCUGACGUGAGCUCUGAAGAUCUCAGGUACCAAGGUCACCUAAGAGGGCCUAAGGAGCCUCCUGGUUUUCCACACCCUCCCCAGUGAGCACUUCCUCCCUUGUCUAGGUGUCUUCCCAGGAUGGCACACCUGGGUCUGUGUUGCAGAAUCCUACACUGACACCUGGAAGGACAGUGAUCUAUGGUCCUGGAGCUCUGGGGCUCAGAAGAGGGCACUGGGCAGUGUCUAGAACCAGGCCACAGAGGAGGAGCCACUUGGCUGCUUUUCCCCUCCCACAUGUAAAAUAGUGUAUACAAUUGUGCACAUUUAAGUUUACUUUGUACAUAUAUUGGUCCUCUACUUAAUGCUGGAUGUUUUUGUAUUAAAUAUUUGCUUGGUACCCAUUGCUUUUAAAACCUUUUCUGUAAAAGAAAACACAUUACAGGAAAACACUCUAAAGAGAGGUAGUGCCCCCCGCCAGUGACCACCACCAUGAUCACUCCCUGCCUCCUGUCCCCCUCAUUUUUCCUUAAUUGAACACAGUAACUUCUGAAGUAGCACUUCCUAGCUGUCCUUGUAUCAGGGUCCUUCUAGGAUUUUGUUCAUUGAAUUCUGUUUGUUCCUCUGGAAGGGAAAAUGGGAACAGGAUCACCCCAGGUCUUCCAUGACACCUGGGAUGUCAGGGCUGUCUCAUCCAUGGCCACCCAUGUCCUUCAUGGAAGAUCUUCAACAUGUGGCUCUGUUUCCUUUAGGGAAAGCUGACUUCUCUCUGAAGGAGUAAAGCUAUUCUGCUUUUCAUUAUCUUUGCGCUUUCAUCCUAGAAGCCCCAAGGGAUUUCUUUUUCUGUAAAGCCCAGGAUUUUACUAGGAUAUCCCUUGGCUUUCAUCAGAAUUCUUUUGAAGAAAUGACUCCAAAGCAUUGUUUCAUUUCAGGAAAAAAAAUUGAAUUACAUUUUUAAUAUUGGCCUUGUAUCUUUGCUUUGUGUUCUGAGACCUUGAACAUUUCUAUAAUCAGAUGUCCUAAGGUGAUUUUUUUUCUCCCCCAUUUUUUUUUUUACCACCUCUUGCUUCAUUUCUUUGGAGAUAUUUUUCUCUCUCUGACCUUCUGUUUCCCAUGAGGCACAGCCCUUCACUGCGCUGCUGCUUCUUUAUAUCUCCUUGUGGAACCUACUUUCCAGUGUUUAUUUCUUCUCUCCUCCCUGGUUUCUAUGCAAGGCUCACAGAUAUGCCACCCCAGUUCUACGUUUGCUGACUCUGGCUUUUCCCAUCCUUUAGUGAGUACUCUCCCUCAUCAAUGCCCUUGUUACUGUCCUUAUCUAAUCUUGAGCUUGAUGUUCCUGUAUUGGAAGAAGACAACUGCUACUCUAUUACCCAAACCAGUAGUCAUUCCCUUUAAGUGGCUACCCAUUUUCUGAAUCCUUAUUUAGUUAUUGUCCAUUAUAAAUGUAACAAAUUACCUCCUUCCCAAAUUAUUAUUUCAUUCUUGUAAUUAUUGUUUUUCAGUUUCUUCAGGUUUAAAUAGUCACAGUAUUUGUCUUGGAUAUUUACCUUUGAGUCAUUUGAUAUUAAUGAGUCAUGAAUUUUCUCAUUCUUUCCAGAGUGAUUUGGUUUGAGCUCUGGGAAUUUAUUUGCAGUGAGUGUGUGGUUUUUAAUUUUCACCCUUUAGAUUUCUCGACAUGCCUGUGCUGGCUUGUUCUCAGCUGGUUCCACAUCUCUCUGGGCCAAUGGCUUUUGCUGUUUUCAGGCAUAGGCAGCAUGCCCACCUUGAUACCUUUUCUAUGUCAUAGCAUGCCCAAGGAUUGUCCUUAAAGCCUUUCCCAUAUUAUCCUAAAAAACCACUCUAUUGAAAUAACCUCUGUAGAAAAAAAAUAUUUUUAAUUUUCUUGACUGAGUUUUUAAAAAUUAUGUGCAUGUACCAAAAAUGUUAGCCAUAUUAUGCUAAGAAUGUCAUUCCACCUUAGAAAUAAAGAAAUCCUGUUAUUUACAACAA